This is a long non-coding RNA of Polistes dominula (European paper wasp), 1249 nucleotides long. RefSeq lists it as uncharacterized. Lineage: Eukaryota; Metazoa; Arthropoda; Insecta; Hymenoptera; Vespidae. The record is from RefSeq and is a predicted model, not a curated record.
UGAGAGGUGACUCAUACAUCAAAAACAUCUUAUUUUGAUUUUGAAUGGCGUAGUGACAAGACAUUUUGCGUUCUCUCUAUCCGUGUACAACCACGUAAUAACGUGGUAUUGUUAGGUUGCAACGUAGACAGGAAAUGGUGGAGGGUGUUUUGCAGAAGGGGAUUGGAAGCUUGCCUAGGAUGAUUAUCAGAGCGUCAAUGACUGGACAAUUGGCAACGAUCGGGAAUCAUUCAUUCUACCAUCAAUAAUGAAAUAUCCCUUCAAAGGAAUGACACAUAUCUAUUAAUCAAUAUGGCGAAUGAACGAACGAACGAGCGAACAAAGGAACGAAGAAACGAAAGGACGAAAGCAUCAACCCUAAUGCACGAAUUCAUUGUAAUUAGGUUUGAUCGUGCAUACCACUUUAAUGGAUACGAUAUAUCGAAGCAUUAAAACUCAGUAGACUCAGUUAACCAAAUUAUUAUCCAAGUUUGUCUCUUUUCAGUCGAACUAUUUGAUGCUUGAUUUAUCUUUCAUUACAUCUAUUUAUCUUCUUCUUCUUCUUCUUUCUCAUCUUAUUUUACUACUACUUCUUCUACGUCUUCUUUUUCUUCUUCUUCUUCCUUCUCUUCAUCAUUUUCUGUUUAUAUUCGAACGUUCAUCCUCUAAACGUCCUUUCAAACUAAAACAAACUUUCACAGAGUUUUAACGUUCGACGUACUUAGUGAUUUUCUAAUUGGGUUACUCCACCAGAACGGGAAUGGAAAUCGUAAAAUGAGAAAAAAAGGAAAAAGAAAACAAAAGAUAAAAAGGAAAAAAAAAAGAUUGAAAAAGAGAGUUAAAGAGAAAAAGAAAAGUACUAAUGCCAUCGACGAGACGAAGAUCGCUUGAGAAACACCGCUGUCGACGACUUUACUCUCGCCUAAGUUUUAUUGCGGACAGUAUAAACCGUCCUGGCGGUAGCAAGUACAAACACGGACUUCCGUCGGGUCGGCUAUGGUGUAAACGAUUUAAAGUGCAUUGGAUAAGUCUCUCAGGAUCGAGUCGAGUUAAAUGAAAAUAAACCUUCUUUAGAUGGGCAAAUAUUCUCCUCCUCCUCCCCCCAUCCUCCAGCUUUUUCUUCUUGGUAUUUCUUUUUUGUUCCUUUAUUUCUCUCUCUCUUUAUAAUAUUGUUAUUUAUUCGUUUCAAAUUAGGUUCAAGUGUGAAUAAUUGAUAAGGUUUUUUUCUUUUCUAUUAUUUGUAAUAAAUUUUUACAACGGUUUGUCUUAA